GCAUAAUCAGUAGUCUUUUAAUUGAAGGCUGGUAUGAAUGGUUGGAUGAAAUAUUAACUGUUUCAUUUAAAUUUUUUUUAGAAUUUUAUUUUUUAGUUAAAAAGCUAAAAUUUUUUUAAAAGACGAGAAGACCCUAUAAAUCUUUAUAUUUUAUUUUUAUUAAUUGUUAAGAUGAAUUUAGUUAUUAAAAAUUAAAAUAUUUUAUUGGGGUGAUAUUAAAAUUUAAUAAACUUUUAAUUUUUAAAUACAUAAAUUUAUGAUUUUAUGAUCCAUUAUUAAUGAUUAAAAAUUUAAGUUACUUUAGGGAUAACAGCGUAAUUUUUUUGGAGAGUUCAUAUCGAUAAAAAAGAUUGCGACCUCG
This 361-nucleotide ribosomal RNA is filed under the name Anthomyza pengellyi. RNAcentral's name for it is "partial 16S large subunit ribosomal RNA". The record is from RNAcentral. Lineage: Eukaryota; Metazoa; Arthropoda; Insecta; Diptera; Anthomyzidae.